AUGAGAACCAAAUCAACAUUCAUAUGCUGUCAGCCAGAAUUUGGACUUCAAAUUUACCAUUGAGCUCUCAGCAAAAAUGUAGAUUUUCUCCUCAGAAAUGUGAUUGAACACUGGAUUUUUUUUUAAUUCUUUUUUUUUUUUUUUUUUUUCCUGGAGCCAAGAUGUAAUUGUUAGGGCUAGUUUAAAUAGCUAGAAAUACCAAAAACUUCUUUUAUUGUCGGUAACUGUUGAGUCUGGCUAGAGCAAGAAUGGUGAUGAGGAUCUUGCCCUUGGAAUAAUGGAUGAGCAAUGGGAUUUGGAUGUAUAGCAGGAGGUGUGGCUGCAUUCAGGUGUGGUGAAAAUAAGGCUGGGAUAUAUGCAGUAUGUGGCAGUAGGGGGAAGUUCAUUGGGGAAGGGUGAAUAGGGGUGGUGGAGACCAAGUGCAAUGGGUGUCCUGUCAGCAGAGCAGGGUGGGUGGGAAUGAGGGCUGGUGCUAAUGGAGAAAGUGAUAUAGGGGCAAAAUGUGCCUGAGAGAGGGGAUGGAGGUGUGCCAGAGAGAGAUGGCCGCCAUGGGGGUGUACAGAUGCUGAGACAGCAAAGCGUUGCAGCAGGGUAUGAUGUAUGGUGGUGACUGUUGCAUGCUGCUGAACAGGGAUGGCAGGAACUGCUGGUGUUGCAGAGAAGGCAGCUGGUCCUGGAGCAGGCAAAACUUGCAGCUAUGGAAAUGAUGCCUUAAGGAUCUUUUCAGUGUUGUUGUAUGAAGACCUUUUUCCACCAUAGAAUCCUUUUGUGAGACAUCAAGAGUUCUCACUGAAGACUGAUGCUGAGGAUUCAAGCUUCAAAGGGACUUUUUUAGAGAAUGAGAAAGACACUCCUGCUCUUUGAGAAGCACUGGUACAAUCUGGGAACACUUGUGAGACUUUAUUUCCAAGCAAAUGGAGUCUUUCAGUAGGUGACUGGUGCCUGCUUAUGAUAAGCUGCUGUUUUUCUAGUACGCUGCUGGAGAAACCUUGUCCUGUACUUGUGGUGGUGCUCUGAGAUUUGGCUGUGACCUUGCCACCUUUGUACAGGAAAAAUCCAUCUGGUGAUUGCUGCUUUUCCUCAACUAACCUGGGGGCUUUAAGCGUUGGUCUACUUCCAGUGAUGCUGUAAGAAAACAUAUUAAAACAUGGUUGAAUUAAUUAAGUAACCAAACUAAAACAGAACUCAUGCUUGACAAUACCUGUCUGGCAAGGAAAAGCGUUACUUAUAGGCACUUCCACUCAUAACAUCUGCAGAAUCACUCUUUAAUAGAAAGGGCAACGUUCUACUUGAUUUGUGUGUCUGUGUAGGUAUGAUUUCUUUUCUAUAAGCAAAUUUUAUUUUACCUUUAUAUUAUUCCACAAUAGAUGAUUUUGUGAAAUAUUCCAGGUAAUAGUAAUGCUAAGACUAUCUCCAAACAUUGGUGGGGGAAAGGUCAAAAGGUGGAGUUCCAUUAAUAUUAAUGGUAACUUCAGCACUCUCAUUAUCACUACCAUUUGACUUUGUCGUAUUUUCUCCUCCCAUACUAUCUUUCAGUUAAUUUUCCUUUUUUCCCAAAACCUCAGAUAUUAAAUCCAUGGUUUACUUUUCUUGUACUUUAGUAAAAAAUAAAUCAACCUAUUCUAAGAAGAACUUACUUAAAAAACAUGGUUAAAAAAGCAAUUAUUGAUUGCUUUUAAUAGAUGACUAGCUGAAUGGAGUUAUCAGAUUAACUACUGCUUUUUUUUUUUCAUUAGAGAUGUAUAUAUCCACCAUGAAUGUUAUUCCAAUUAAUAUUUAAACAUGCAUUUCAUUAGUUACGUUAUCUACAUUUGCUAUCAAAGCCAUUCUACAAUACACUUUCAUGGAAAAAAAAAAAAAAAAAAGUUGGAACCAGCAUCAGUAAACAGUUUGAUUAAAAAAUAGAAAAUAUUUUAAUCAAAUGUAAGUAAAUUGCAACUUCCAGAUCUGCAUAGAGAUUAUAAAUAGUCUGGCAUGUUUUAGAUAUGCUGUAAAAAAAGCAUUGAUCUCCA
Pavo cristatus (Indian peafowl) is the source of this 2012-nucleotide long non-coding RNA. Lineage: Eukaryota; Metazoa; Chordata; Aves; Galliformes; Phasianidae. The record is from Ensembl.